Oreochromis aureus is the source of this 376-nucleotide long non-coding RNA. RefSeq lists it as uncharacterized. The record is from RefSeq and is a predicted model, not a curated record. The transcript is spliced from 3 exons. Lineage: Eukaryota; Metazoa; Chordata; Actinopteri; Cichliformes; Cichlidae.
ACAGCAGCCAAGAAGAGUGCCUGACGAGCCCAGCUAUAAGACGAUUAAUCCCUUAGUUUUGCCAUCGUGUACGGAAGCAAUUCAGUUCAUCACCCCUUACUGCUCUGUUGCCCAGUGUUGGCCAGUGACUGGAGUUCAGGAGCACAAGCAGAGCUCAAUCAGCACUCCUCCUUUCACCACUGAAGCAAAAAAGCAAAGGAAUGAGUCCCUUUGUGACUGCAGCCCACAAAAAUGGCACCAUACUGUAUAUGCCAAAAAUUAAUUGGGAUAAGAAGAUUGAGCCUUGUACAGCAUAACAACCCUGAAGGCAGCAGUUACAAUCCCAAAACAACUUUUCCAUUUGUAAUCUGGAUAAAACAACAGGAGAAUUAAAUAA